Molecule: ribosomal RNA, 403 nt
Filed under: uncultured bacterium
Lineage: Bacteria
Description: partial 16S ribosomal RNA
Rfam family: Bacterial small subunit ribosomal RNA
Source: RNAcentral
AUUGAACGCUGGCGGCAGGCCUAACACAUGCAAGUCGAGCGAGCGGCGGACGGGUGAGUAAUGUAUGGGGACUGCCCGAUAGAGGGGGAUAACUACUGGAAACGGUAGCUAAUACCGCAUACUAUCGGAUAACCCAUAUGGGAUUAGCUAGUUGGUGCGGGAAUGGCUCACCUAGGCGACGAUCCCUAGCUGGUCUGGGAGGCUGAUCAGCCACACUGGGACUGAGACACGGUCCAGACUCCUACGGAGGCAGCAUUAGGGAAUAUUGCACAAUGGGCGCAAGCCUGAUGCAGCCAUGCCGCGUGUAUGAAGAAGGCCCUAGGGUUGUAAAGUACUUUCAGUAGGGAGGCGUUACCGACAGAAUAAGCAACGGCUAACUCCGUGCCAGCAGCCGCGGUAAUAC